RNAcentral lists this ribosomal RNA (460 nucleotides) under uncultured bacterium. RNAcentral's name for it is "partial 16S ribosomal RNA". It matches the Rfam family "Bacterial small subunit ribosomal RNA", at positions 338 to 795 of the family's 1533-position model. The record is from RNAcentral.
CCUACGGGGUGCAGCAGUGAGGAAUAUUGGUCAAUGGGCGCGAGCCUGAACCAGCCAAGUAGCGUGAAGGAUGACUGCCCUACGGGUUGUAAACUUCUUUUAUAAAGGAAUAAAGUGAUGCACGUGUGCCUUUUUGUAUGUACUGUAUGAAUAAGGAUCGGCUAACUCCGUGCCAGCAGCCGCGGUAAUACGGAGGAUCCGAGCGUUAUCCGGAUUUAUUGGGUUUAAAGGGAGCGUAGAUGGUUUGUUAAGUCAGUUGUGAAAGUUUGCGGCUCAACCGUAAAAUGGCAAUUGAUACUGGCAGCCUUGAGUACAGUUGAGGUAGGCGGAAUUCGUGGUGUAGCGGUGAAAUGCUUAGAUAUCACGAAGAACUCCGAUUGCGAAGGCAGCUUACUAAACUGCCACUGACAUUGAUGCUCGAAAGUGUGGGUAUCAAACAGGAUUAGAUACCCCAGUAGUC